ACUGAUUGAACGUGCUUGCACGGACUUGACGUUGGUUUACCAGCGAGUGGCGGACGGGUGAGUAACACGUAGGUAACCUGCCCCAAAGCGGGGGAUAACAUUUGGAAACAGAUGCUAAUACCGCAUAACAAUUUGAAUCGCAUGAUUCAAAUUUAAAAGAUGGUUUCGGCUAUCACUUUGGGAUGGACCUGCGGCGCAUUAGCUUGUUGGUAGGGUAACGGCCUACCAAGGCUGUGAUGCGUAGCCGAGUUGAGAGACUGAUCGGCCACAAUGGAACUGAGACACGGUCCAUACUCCUACGGGAGGCAGCAGUAGGGAAUCUUCCACAAUGGGCGCAAGCCUGAUGGAGCAACACCGCGUGAGUGAAGAAGGGUUUCGGCUCGUAAAGCUCUGUUGUUAGAGAAGAACGUGCGUGAGAGCAACUGUUCACGCAGUGACGGUAUCUAACCAGAAAGUCACGGCUAACUACGUGCCAGCAGCCGCGGUAAUACGUAGGUGGCAAGCGUUAUCCGGAUUUAUUGGGCGUAAAGCGAGCGCAGGCGGUUUGAUAAGUCUGAUGUGAAAGCCUUUGGCUUAACCAAAGAAGUGCAUCGGAAACUGUCAGACUUGAGUGCAGAAGAGGACAGUGGAACUCCAUGUGUAGCGGUGGAAUGCGUAGAUAUAUGGAAGAACACCAGUGGCGAAGGCGGCUGUCUGGUCUGCAACUGACGCUGAGGCUCGAAAGCAUGGGUAGCGAACAGGAUUAGAUACCCUGGUAGUCCAUGCCGUAAACGAUGAGUGCUAGGUGUUGGAGGGUUUCCGCCCUUCAGUGCCGCAGCU
This 819-nucleotide ribosomal RNA is filed under the name uncultured bacterium. Its description in RNAcentral is "bacterial SSU rRNA". It matches the Rfam family "Bacterial small subunit ribosomal RNA", at positions 46 to 853 of the family's 1533-position model. The record is from RNAcentral.